UUACCUUUGAAUCGGCGGCUUGAGCGUGCAGGAGCAAGCGAUUGGAUCCGCGGAGAGGACAGUUUUUCCUCUGCACUCUCUUUUCCUUCGUCAUUUGAAUGACUACAGCUUUGCUCUGGUGAAUCAAAAGGAGUCGCUAGAGUUUCAUGAACCACCUGCGGAAGCUGAGGGACCAAGUUACAGAGGAGAGGGCCCCUGGGGGGCCAUAAUGAGGAAACUUGGGGAGCAGAGGAACUUACUCAGAUGAUUCAAGCCAAAACCCAUCCUGCCAUGUAGAAGGAAACUAAAGUGUGCAGUUGAGUCUGAGCUGUCCAAAUUGCACGUUGACAUUUCUCAAAUUCACAGGUGUGCAGCCAUCAUGCCAGAAGCAGAAGACAUGACGAUGAAUAACCUGUUAAGGAAUCGGAUACAGUACCAGGGCCUGGAGGUAGCGUUGUGAAGAGGGAAAUGCACUGGCUGUGGAGGAGGAAAUGUUGAUCCGUGCUGGAGCUCUCUCAACUGACUGUGGAACCACAGAAAAGUCCCUCAGCCUACCUCAUUCCAGCAUCAUCCCCUGUCCUAUUGGACUAGUAAUGUUUAAUCUACCUCCUGUGAGCAACACCAACUCUUACUGGAAGGGUCAAAUUGAAAAAUGGAUGUGAAACUGACUUGAAAACUUAACAUGAUAUACAAAUGAGGUAUCUGGGAUUAAAACAGUGGUUUGCUGUUCUGUUGAG
Camelus dromedarius (Arabian camel) is the source of this 716-nucleotide long non-coding RNA. RefSeq lists it as uncharacterized. The record is from RefSeq and is a predicted model, not a curated record. The transcript is spliced from 5 exons. NCBI's taxonomy places the organism in Eukaryota, Metazoa, Chordata, Mammalia, Artiodactyla, Camelidae.